This 1101-nucleotide long non-coding RNA is filed under the name Junco hyemalis (dark-eyed junco). RNAcentral's name for it is "lncRNA (ENSJHYG00000011419.1)". Lineage: Eukaryota; Metazoa; Chordata; Aves; Passeriformes; Passerellidae. The record is from RNAcentral.
AAAGCCACCUCAGGCAGCCCCGUCAGAGGGAGGAGAAGAGAAAGUGGCAGGGCCUUCGCUGUGUUCGAUAAGCUCGGGAGGAAGCCGAGCUGCACCUCUCCAAUAGCCAGGAGACCAGAACUGGUCACCGCAGAGGUCCCUGUGGGCGGUGCCCUGGAUGACCAGAAAAAUUACUCCCAGUGCAUUAAACUGGGCUUUUCCCUCAUCCUGAGGGGACGAGCCGGGGAAAAAACAGCCCAGGAGCGCCUCAUUUUCCAAAACAAACGCCCGGCCCGGCUGCCGCGGUGCUCGCCCCGGGCCUGGCACACACCCGGCCGGGGAGGGGCCCGGGGCACCCCCGGCCCCGCCGGCGCUUCGCCCCCGCCCACGGCGCAGCCCCGGCUCCCCCCGGACCCCGGCCCAGCCCGGGCCCAGCCCCGCCUCGGGGCCCUCCCCGCUCCCCCCCCCACGCCCCCAUUCCCCGCCCGUCCGGCGCCCCGCGCAGACCCCACUACCGCCGCCAGGGCACCCCCAGCGCUACCUCCGCUCCCCGCACCGGGCGGCGCUGCUUUUACGCCCCUUUUGCGACGGCCGGAAAGGAGGCGGUGGCAGCGCGCGCCGGGGGCGGGGCCGGGGCAGCGCGAGGACGGCGCGGGAGCGGCUGAGGUGAAGGGGGGGGGCGGGGGGACCCAAACACCGAACCCCAAACCCGUGUUCCUGUCAGCCCUGUCACCCCCUCAGAGAACCCACAACCUCCCCAGCCACCUUUGUCACCCCCCAGCCACCAUCACCCGACCUCUUGGCGACCGCCCGGUGUUCCUGUCACUCCCUGUUACCCCCUCCGAGAUUCUCUGUCACCUCCUCAGGGACCCCUCUUUAUCCCCCUCAGCGACCUUCCGAUGUCCCUGUCACCACGUCAGACACCCCCUUGGAAACCCCUUGUCAUCCCCUCAGAGAUCCCCCAUCCUCAGUGACGCCAUGGCCUCUCUGUCAAUGACCCCCCGGUGUCCCCUGACUCCCUCCAUGUCACCCACCCCACUGCAGCCCCCCCCGGGUGCUCUGCAGUCCCCACUGCCCUUCGGGACCCCCAGAAACCUCAGCUGUCCUCCCUCCCUCUCCUGA